AGGAUUAACGCUGGCGGCGUGCAUGAAACAUGCAAGUCGAGCGCGGUGUGAUGCGGGGUAACCCAAUUCACAUCUAGCGGCGAACGGGUGAGUAACACGUGAGCAACCUACCUUUGAGUUGGGGAUAGCCCUGGGAAACCAGGAUUAAUACCCGAUGUGGUCACAACAGGACAUCCUGAUGUGAGUAAAGGCGCAAGCCGCUCAAUGACGGGCUCGCGGCCUAUUAGCUUGUUGGUGGGGUAACGGCCUACCAAGGCGAUGAUGGGUAGCUGGUCUGAGAGGACGAUCAGCCACACUGGGACUGAGACACGGCCCAGACUCCUACGGGAGGCAGCAGUUAGGAAUUUUCCGCAAUGGGCGAAAGCCUGACGGAGCAACGCCGCGUGAGUGAUGAAGACCUUAGGGUUGUAAAGCUCUGUCGGAGGGAAGAACACAAUGACGGUACCCUCAACGAAAGCCCGGCUAACUACGUGCCAGCAGCCGCGGUAA
This 489-nucleotide ribosomal RNA is filed under the name uncultured bacterium. RNAcentral describes it as "SSU rRNA". It matches the Rfam family "Bacterial small subunit ribosomal RNA", at positions 26 to 523 of the family's 1533-position model. The record is from RNAcentral.